GGUGUUUACUGUCGAACUGAACACUCUACCGUUUACUGUCUGGUGGUGCUCUUCACCGAGUGUCACCAGUGGUCGGUACGUUUACUUUGAAAAAAUUAGAGUGCUCAAAGCGGUUUUUACACGACCGAAUACUGUUGCAUGGAAUAAUGAAAUAGGACUUUGGUCUAUUUUGUGGUCUCGGAACCCAAGGUAAUGAUAGAGGGACAGACGGGGGCAUUAGUAUUGCGACGCUAGAGGUGAAAUUCUUGGACCGUCGCAAGACUAACUAAAGCGAAAGCAUUUGCCAAGAAUGUUUUCAUUAAUCAAGAACGAAAGUUAGAGGUUCGAAGGCGAUCAGAUACCGCCCUAGUUCUAACCAUAAACGAUGCCAACCAGCAAUCAGCCUGUGUUCUCUUGAUGACACGGCUGGCGGCUUCCGGGAAACCAAAGUCUUUCGGUUCCAGGGGAAGUAUGGUUGCAAAGCUGAAACUUAAAGGAAUUGACGGAAGGGCACCACCAGGAGUGGAGCCUGCGGCUUAAUUUGACUCAACACGGGGAAACUCACCCGGCCCGGACACUGUGAGGAUUGACAGGUUGAAGCCCUUUCUUGAUUCAGUGGGUGGUGGUGCAUGGCCGUUCUUAGUUGGUGGAGUGAUUUGUCUGGUUAAUUCCGAUAACGAACGAGACUCUAGCCUACUAAUUAGACCGUGGCGUCCUCGUGCCGCCACGGCGCUUCCUAGAGGGACAGACGG
Molecule: ribosomal RNA, 731 nt
Filed under: uncultured eukaryote
Lineage: Eukaryota
Description: SSU rRNA
Rfam family: Eukaryotic small subunit ribosomal RNA
Source: RNAcentral